This 503-nucleotide ribosomal RNA is filed under the name uncultured bacterium. RNAcentral describes it as "partial 16S ribosomal RNA". It matches the Rfam family "Bacterial small subunit ribosomal RNA", at positions 30 to 523 of the family's 1533-position model. The record is from RNAcentral.
AUUGAACGCUGGCGGCAGGCUUAACACAUGCAAGUCGAGCGGGGUGAUGGUGCUUGCACUAUCACUUAGCGGCGGACGGGUGAGUAAUGCUUAGGAAUCUGCCUAUUAGUGGGGGACAACAUCUCGAAAGGGAUGCUAAUACCGCAUACGUCCUACGGGAGAAAGCAGGGGAUCACUUGUGACCUUGCGCUAAUAGAUGAGUCUAGGUCGGAUUAGCUAGUUGGUGGGGUAAAGGCCUACCAAGGCGACGAUCUGUAGCGGGUCUGAGAGGAUGAUCCGCCACACCGGGGCUGGGACACGGCCCAGACUCCUACGGGAGGCAGCAGUGGGGAAUAUUGGACAAUGGGGGGAACCCUGAUCCAGCCAUGCCGCGUGUGUGAAGAAGGCCUUAUGGUUGUAAAGCACUUUAAGCGAGGAGGAGGCUCUUUUGGUUAAUACCCAAGAUGAGUGGACGUUACUCGCAGAAUAAGCACCGGCUAACUCUGUGCCAGCAGCCGCCGUAA